AGGCUUAGUACAGUAAGGACUGCUAAUCCCUACAUCCAUGGUUAACCACAAAAAAUGUAUGGGAGGUCCCACCUGCCCGUGAUGC
RNAcentral lists this transfer RNA (85 nucleotides) under Megalechis picta (armored hoplo catfish). RNAcentral's name for it is "partial tRNA-Ser". Lineage: Eukaryota; Metazoa; Chordata; Actinopteri; Siluriformes; Callichthyidae. The record is from RNAcentral.